CGGCAUGCCUAACACAUGCAAGUCGAACGAGACCUUCGGGUCUAGUGGCGCACGGGUGCGUAACGCGUGGGAACCUGCCUUUAGGUUCGGAAUAACUCAGAGAAAUUUGAGCUAAUACCGGAUAAUGUCUUCGGACCAAAGAUUUAUCGCCUUUAGAUGGGCCCGCGUAAGAUUAGCUAGUUGGUGGGGUAAAGGCCUACCAAGGCGACGAUCUUUAGCUGGUCUGAGAGGAUGAUCAGCCACACUGGGACUGAGACACGGCCCAGACUCCUACGGGAGGCAGCAGUGGGGAAUAUUGGACAAUGGGCGAAAGCCUGAUCCAGCAAUGCCGCGUGAGUGAUGAAGGCCUUAGGGUUGUAAAGCUCUUUUACCCGAGAUGAUAAUGACAGUAUCGGGAGAAUAAGCCCCGGCUAACUCCGUG
RNAcentral lists this ribosomal RNA (421 nucleotides) under uncultured bacterium. RNAcentral describes it as "bacterial SSU rRNA". It matches the Rfam family "Bacterial small subunit ribosomal RNA", at positions 40 to 507 of the family's 1533-position model. The record is from RNAcentral.